RNAcentral lists this ribosomal RNA (431 nucleotides) under uncultured Desulfobulbus sp. RNAcentral describes it as "bacterial SSU rRNA". It matches the Rfam family "Bacterial small subunit ribosomal RNA", at positions 950 to 1382 of the family's 1533-position model. Lineage: Bacteria; Pseudomonadati; Thermodesulfobacteriota; Desulfobulbia; Desulfobulbales; Desulfobulbaceae. The record is from RNAcentral.
UUCGAAGCAACGCGAAGAACCUUACCAGGCCUGACAUGCAGAGAACUUUCCAGAGAUGGAUUGGUGCCUUCGGGAACUCUGACACAGGUGCUGCAUGGCUGUCGUCAGCUCGUGUCGUGAGAUGUUGGGUUAAGUCCCGCAACGAGCGCAACCCUUGCCUUUAGUUGCCAGCAGUUCGGCUGGGCACUCUAAAGGGACUGCCGGUGUUAAACCGGAGGAAGGUGGGGAUGACGUCAAGUCCUCAUGGCCUUUAUGACCAGGGCUACACACGUACUACAAUGGCCGAUACAAAGGGCAGCGACACUGCGAGGUGAAGCCAAUCCCGUAAAAUCGGUCUCAGUCCGGAUUGGAGUCUGCAACUCGACUCCAUGAAGUUGGAAUCGCUAGUAAUCGUGGAUCAGCAUGCCACGGUGAAUACGUUCCCGGGCCUU